CCCGACCCGCGGGCGCCCGGCCUCUCCCGCCCGCCCCGGGGCUCCGCGCUCCCCCGGCUCCGCCUCGCGCACUUCCCGGGAGCGGCUUCCCGGGGCCCACUGGGCUCAGAGGGUUGUUUUUUUUGUUUUGUUUUGUUUUUUCCUCUCGGUGUUUGGCGCUUUUCCCCGCCUUCCUCACCCGGAUUCAACCCUCGAGGCUGGAUCCCGGGGGGCGUCGGGAGGGCCGGCGGCGGGUGGGCGCGGAGUGCGGGGUCGCUGCCACUGCGCGCGCCGCGCCUCGGGGGGAACUAGAAUGCGUUCGGGAGCUGCCUGCCGGGCCCCGGGCACCCCCAGUGCCUGGCACUCAGCGGGCGCUCAAUAAAUAUUUGUUGAAUGAAUGAGCAGUUGACUACCGCGUUCACCCCCUGGAGCUUUAACUGACACCGAGAGGACCGGAAGCCGGGCUCCAGGGCGGACGCGACCUCCCGGGGCCACCGUUGAUAGCUUUCAAAGCGGGCGUAUUUGUCUCCGGAGCCCCACUGUAUAUGCUUCAGGCCCCAGAGACCUUGGAUCCUGUCCCUGGGUGUGAUAGACAAGGACUUAAUCACCUUUAGGACUUCCUCAGUGAUUCCUCCACGUGGACCCCUAGGAGCUGAAGCAUUUGCAUUAUAGAAUGGGGACUUCACAAAGGUAUUUCAGUUGUCUCUGUUCAAGGAAAUUGCUUAACCAAAUGUUCUCUAACUACUGGUGUACUUUGAAUUUAAUACACAUCAGGGUGUUCCGUGCGCGUCCAGUGGAACCGGAUUUCUACCAAAAUGAUUUCAGCUGCCUUUUCUGGAAUGUUUUCAGCGCCACCCCCUACCACUCGCACUGAAAGCUCUUUGCAGAACUUGAGGUUUGAAUCUGGGCGCUGGAUAUUUCAAGUUUGACAAUAAUUGCGUUAAGAGGGUUGGAGGCAAACGGAAAAUUUUAAUUACAGCCUUCAGUACGUUUAUUCUUUUUCCUCUGAAGACUGAGGUCCACCCACUUUGUUAUAUCCAAUGGUUAAAUCCCAAUUUGAAAGUCCAUUUAAAUCAUAAAAGCAGAGCUAUUCAACGUCUUUUAUUAAAAUUAGGCUUAAAAUUAGAGAGUCAACUAGAUGGGUAGGUGGAAUAAGAGCAUGAUUCCCAGAAAUAUCAAUUUCUUUUUCCUCUGAUGUCUUUUCAGAAGAAACAUUAGGCAUAUUCCAGAAGCACUGAUACUCAGACUGCGAAACCCACACAAAUAUAAACACAUUUAUGCACGCACAAGCACUAGCAUACUCUGCUUGAAAGGUGCCUUGGAGAAAGAAAUGAGGAUAAAUGAAUUUGAAUGUGGAGGCUAGUUUGACAUGAACAUUGUGACCAUCCCUCACAACGCCUGAAUAGAUGGAUGUGAAGACAAUUGGCGAGGGCUUGCUUCCUCCGUUGAUUACAAGGUUUAUUUCGCCAAAUCUGGCUGACUUGAUUGCUUCUCUGAAAAAAGCUAUGGAUUCUAUUAAAGAGCAUCUCUCUCUCUCUCUCUCUCUCUCUCUCUCUCUCUUUCUUUCUUUCUUUCUUUUUUUUUCUGGAUGAGCCUACAUAUGAGUGAGUGUAGUUGCUAGAAUAACCAAAAAAAAAAAAAAAGGGUGGAAAAAUGUAAUUGGCUCUAAUAUCACUUUGAGGUCUUCUGAGGGCAAAUGCUCUAGCUUUAGGACAGGGUGGUUCUAUGUAAGUCAGGCGCAGGGUGAGGCAUUGUCAUUUGGGACCCAUGAGCUAAACUGGACAAAGGAACUCACCCCUGCAGCCCUAGAAGUACUUUUUUUUUUCAUAGACCCUAGAAACUCACAUUGCUAUCUACUCUCUGCCGCCCAGAUGAUUUAUCUGGUGAGCAUCUUUGGGUCUGUUCUUGGCUCUGCCACGGGCCGUGGUAGGUCCACUUUCUCUGAUGACUGGGAGAUGAUGGUCACUUCUCCAGUGCUAGUCAUACCCUCACCCCCAUCGCCGGGAGAUGGGUGCUCGGUAAGCUUAGCUUUCACCCUCUUUGCAAACACAGCAAAAAGCUUUUAGUUUUGCUUCUGGAAUGCUCUUUGCUGCAGACAUCUAAAUGUGCUUCAAGUUCACCUUUGAAAGAAGUUGAUGACAUGAGCAACUCAAAGUUAUUAUUAGCUUGAUGACAGUUGGAUCAAUAUUCAAUGCGAGAAGCGAGGAACACCACUUGAAUUUUCAAAACUGUAUUUACGUAACGUGUCUUGAAAAGUUCCUCUAUGUGUUGAAAAUCUAUCUUCAGGGGCGCUUGGGUGGCUUGGUCGGUUAAGCCUCCGACUUCGGCUCAGGUCAUGAUCUCACAGUCCGUGAGUUCGAGCCCCGCGUCGGGCUCUGUGCUGACAGCUCAGAGCCUGGAGCCUGUUUCAGAUUCUGUGUCUCCCUCUCUCUCUGCCCCUCCCCUGUUCAUGCUCUGUCUCUCUCUGUCUCAAAAAUAAAUAAACGUUAAAAAAAAAAAAAAAGAAAAUCUAUCUUCAUUACACUUUGUAAAACAAGAGGUGAUAAAAACUAAGAAGCAAGGUGGAAAAAUUAUAAUGUAAGCUUAAGGUACAAUAAUUAAACUAUAUAUGCCGUAAUAUACUUAUAACUAUAUAAAAUUAUAUUUUGCAUGGAAAAUGACUGUAGAGGAACAUUAAAAAUGGAAAUUUUUAACCUUCUUCAAAAGAAAACUACUUGGUUGCUGAGAUUCCUGGACCAUGUACAAAAGCAGAAAGUUAAGUGCUUAAAUUUGACCUUUAUUUGGGAUAAGAGUGAAGUUUCAUUCUGAAGCCCCUUGGUAACUGUGACAUUGUGACUAUGUUGUUUAGAUGACUGUCAUAGCAGAUUUUUCUUCCUGUUACUUCAUGGUCAGUUAAGAAACAAACAUUUGAUCUAGAAAUUUUAUUUAAUACCAGACAGAUUCUCCAUGGUCACUAGCUGUAGCGUAACAAUAAUAAUUACUAUUCAUGGCCUGUGCCUGGCACUAAGCUAAAUCAGCUUGUCUGAUCCUCACAUAACCUAAUGAGGUAAAUAGAACAUUAUUGUCAUCCCCCCCCCAACUUACAAAUGUGGAAAGUGUGUCCCAGAACAUGUUACAAUAUUGCCCGCGUAAUUACGU
Panthera uncia (snow leopard) is the source of this 3117-nucleotide long non-coding RNA. RefSeq lists it as uncharacterized. The transcript has 3 exons. NCBI's taxonomy places the organism in Eukaryota, Metazoa, Chordata, Mammalia, Carnivora, Felidae. The record is from RefSeq and is a predicted model, not a curated record.